AAGUCGUAACAAGGUUUCCGUAGGUGAACCUGCGGAAGGAUCAUUAUUGAAUACUCUUGACGAGUUGUAGCUGGCUCUUCGGGGCAUGUGCACGCUUGUCUUGACUUUAUUCAUCCACCUGUGCACCUUUUGUAGUCUUGUGGGUUGAGAGCGGUCGACUAUCAGAGACUUUGGUCUUCUGGAUGUGAGGAGUGCUGAGUGCGAAAGCAUUAAGCUCGUCUCUAAUGACUCGCAACCUCUCCCUCGAGUACUAUGUAUUCAUAUACCACAUAGUAUGUUGUAGAAUGUGAUCAAUGGGCCUUUGCGCCUAUAAUAAUCAUAUACAACUUUCAGCAACGGAUCUCUUGGCUCUCGCAUCGAUGAAGAACGCAGCGAAAUGCGAUAAGUAAUGUGAAUUGCAGAAUUCAGUGAAUCAUCGAAUCUUUGAACGCACCUUGCGCUCCUUGGUAUUCCGAGGAGCAUGCCUGUUUGAGUGUCAUUAAAUUCUCAACUCCUCCAGCUUUUACGAGCUGUGUGGGGCUUGGAUAUGGGAGUUUGCGGGUCCUUUAUCAAUAAGGUCGGCUCUCCUGAAAUGCAUUAGCGGAACCGUUUGCAGUUCUGUCACUAGUGUGAUAAUUAUCUACACUGUGAUGAUUGCUCUCUGACUCGUUCAGCUGCUAAUCGUCCGUUACUGGACAACAUUUAAUGAACUUCUUGACCUCAAAUCAGGUAGGACUACCCGCUGAACUUAA
Molecule: ribosomal RNA, 731 nt
Filed under: uncultured Agaricomycetes
Lineage: Eukaryota; Fungi; Basidiomycota; Agaricomycetes
Description: eukaryotic LSU rRNA
Rfam family: 5.8S ribosomal RNA (bases 325-478)
Source: RNAcentral